GGGUUGUGAGGUUAAGCGACUAAGCGUACACGGUGGAUGCCCUGGCAGUCAGAGGCGAUGAAGGACGUGCUAAUCUGCGAAAAGCGUCGGUAAGGUGAUAUGAACCGUUAUAACCGGCGAUGUCCGAAUGGGGAAACCCAGUGCAAUUCGUUGCACUAUCGUUAACUGAAUACAUAGGUUAACGAGGCGAACCGGGGGAACUGAAACAUCUAAGUACCCCGAGGAAAAGAAAUCAACCGAGAUUCCCCCAGUAGCGGCGAGCGAACGGGGAGCAGCCCAGAGUCUGAAUCAGCUUGUGUGUUAGUGGAACGGUCUGGAAAGUCCGACGGUACAGGGUGAUAGUCCCGUACACCAAAAUGCACAGGCUGUGAACUCGAAGAGUAGGGCGGGACACGUGGUAUCCUGUCUGAAUAUGGGGGGACCAUCCUCCAAGGCUAAAUACUCCUGACUGACCGAUAGUGAACCAGUACCGUGAGGGAAAGGCGAAAAGAACCCCGGCGAGGGGAGUGAAAAAGAACCUGAAACCGUGUACGUACAAGCAGUGGGAGCACCUUCGGGUGUGACUGCGUACCUUUUGUAUAAUGGGUCAGCGACUUAUAUUCUGUAGCAAGGUUAACCGUAUAGGGGAGCCGCAGGGAAACCGAGUCUUAACUGGGCGUUAAGUUGCAGGGUAUAGACCCGAAACCCGGUGAUCUAGCCAUGGGCAGGUUGAAGGUUGGGUAACACUAACUGGAGGACCGAACCGACUAAUGUUGAAAAAUUAGCGGAUGACUUGUGGCUGGGGGUGAAAGGCCAAUCAAACCGGGAGAUAGCUGGUUCUCCCCGAAAGCUAUUUAGGUAGCGCCUCGUGAAUUCAUCUUCGGGGGUAGAGCACUGUUUCGGCUAGGGGGUCAUCCCGACUUACCAACCCGAUGCAAACUACGAAUACCGAAGAAUGUUAUCACGGGAGACACACGGCGGGUGCUAACGUCCGUCGUGAAGAGGGAAACAACCCAGACCGCCAGCUAAGGUCCCAAAGUCAUGGUUAAGUGGGAAACGAUGUGGGAAGGCACAGACAGCCAGGAUGUUGGCUUAGAAGCAGCCAUCAUUUAAAGAAAGCGUAAUAGCUCACUGGUCGAGUCGGCCUGCGCGGAAGAUGUAACGGGGCUAAACCAUGCACCGAAGCUGCGGCAGCGACACUAUGUGUUGUUGGGUAGGGGAGCGUUCUGUAAGCCUGCGAAGGUGUGCUGUGAGGCAUGCUGGAGGUAUCAGAAGUGCGAAUGCUGACAUAAGUAACGAUAAAGCGGGUGAAAAGCCCGCUCGCCGGAAGACCAAGGGUUCCUGUCCAACGUUAAUCGGGGCAGGGUGAGUCGACCCCUAAGGCGAGGCCGAAAGGCGUAGUCGAUGGGAAACAGGUUAAUAUUCCUGUACUUGGUGUUACUGCGAAGGGGGGACGGAGAAGGCUAUGUUAGCCGGGCGACGGUUGUCCCGGUUUAAGCAUGUAGGCUGGUUAUCCAGGCAAAUCCGGAUAAUCAAGGCUGAGGUGUGAUGACGAGGCACUACGGUGCUGAAGUAACAAAUGCCCUGCUUCCAGGAAAAGCCUCUAAGCAUCAGGUAACAUCAAAUCGUACCCCAAACCGACACAGGUGGUCAGGUAGAGAAUACCAAGGCGCUUGAGAGAACUCGGGUGAAGGAACUAGGCAAAAUGGUGCCGUAACUUCGGGAGAAGGCACGCUGGUGUGUAGGUGAAGUCCCUGCGGAUGGAGCUGAGACCAGUCGAAGAUACCAGCUGGCUGCAACUGUUUAUUAAAAACACAGCACUGUGCAAACACGAAAGUGGACGUAUACGGUGUGACGCCUGCCCGGUGCCGGAAGGUUAAUUGAUGGGGUUAUCCGUAAGGAGAAGCUCUUGAUCGAAGCCCCGGUAAACGGCGGCCGUAACUAUAACGGUCCUAAGGUAGCGAAAUUCCUUGUCGGGUAAGUUCCGACCUGCACGAAUGGCGUAAUGAUGGCCAGGCUGUCUCCACCCGAGACUCAGUGAAAUUGAACUCGCUGUGAAGAUGCAGUGUACCCGCGGCAAGACGGAAAGACCCCGUGAACCUUUACUAUAGCUUGACACUGAACAUUGAGCCUUGAUGUGUAGGAUAGGUGGGAGGCUUUGAAGCGUGGACGCCAGUCUGCGUGGAGCCAACCUUGAAAUACCACCCUUUAAUGUUUGAUGUUCUAACGUUGGCCCCUUACCGGGGUUGCGGACAGUGUCUGGUGGGUAGUUUGACUGGGGCGGUCUCCUCCCAAAGCGUAACGGAGGAGCACGAAGGUUAGCUAAUCCUGGUCGGACAUCAGGAGGUUAGUGCAAUGGCAUAAGCUAGCUUGACUGCGAGCGUGACGGCGCGAGCAGGUGCGAAAGCAGGUCAUAGUGAUCCGGUGGUUCUGAAUGGAAGGGCCAUCGCUCAACGGAUAAAAGGUACUCCGGGGAUAACAGGCUGAUACCGCCCAAGAGUUCAUAUCGACGGCGGUGUUUGGCACCUCGAUGUCGGCUCAUCACAUCCUGGGGCUGAAGUAGGUCCCAAGGGUAUGGCUGUUCGCCAUUUAAAGUGGUACGCGAGCUGGGUUUAGAACGUCGUGAGACAGUUCGGUCCCUAUCUGCCGUGGGCGCUGGAGAAUUGAGGGGGGCUGCUCCUAGUACGAGAGGACCGGAGUGGACGCAUCACUGGUGUUCGGGUUGUCAUGCCAAUGGCACUGCCCGGUAGCUAAAUGCGGAAGAGAUAAGUGCUGAAAGCAUCUAAGCACGAAACUUGCCCCGAGAUGAGUUCUCCCUGAGACUUUAAGUCUCCUGAAGGAACGUUAAAGACGAUGACGUUGAUAGGCCGGGUGUGUAAGCGCAGCGAUGCGUUGAGCUAACCGGUACUAAUGAACCGUGAGGCUUAACCUUACAACGCCGAAG
RNAcentral lists this ribosomal RNA (2923 nucleotides) under Klebsiella pneumoniae. Its description in RNAcentral is "bacterial LSU rRNA". It matches the Rfam family "Bacterial large subunit ribosomal RNA". Lineage: Bacteria; Pseudomonadati; Pseudomonadota; Gammaproteobacteria; Enterobacterales; Enterobacteriaceae. The record is from RNAcentral.